CUGUGUCCCUGCCCCGGGGAGCAGACAGCAAGUUUCUUUUAUUUAUUCUUUUCUUUCCCCCCAUCUUUUUACUUUGCAUUGAGACAGAUGUGGUGGCCCGCCUGGUCUCUGAAGGGCAAGAGAAACACAACCUCAGUCUUAAGCUAUUGUGGUAGUGAGAGGAGCGUGCCAGCAGAUCUGAGUGAAACGGGAUAAUGGGGAUCUGCCUCCCUGAAAAAUGCUGUUGCUGGAGCAGAAGUGCCUGUAUAUGAACUUCUUGGAGAAUUUUAGGUAGCACUGUGAAUUAUGCCAUGGGGGAUUGAAGCAGUGAAGGGAAGCUUGGUGUGUGACACCUUAUCCAGCACUGUAAUCAGCAGUAUCCAAGUCUGCGGACACAUGGCCGAUAAUCUGAAUACCAGUUUUUAGUGGCAACUGCUAUCCCCAUCUGUUUUCCUGCGGCUCUGAAUGACUUCAUUUGAUACUUAUGUUCCCUGUUUCCUUGUACGCAUUGGAAUGCAGCCCACUUGAGAAAACAUGUAAUUCAAUUAACUUUCCCCAGGAAAAUGGGA
Long non-coding RNA from Cygnus olor (mute swan), 548 nucleotides. RefSeq lists it as uncharacterized. The transcript is spliced from 2 exons. Lineage: Eukaryota; Metazoa; Chordata; Aves; Anseriformes; Anatidae. The record is from RefSeq and is a predicted model, not a curated record.